RNAcentral lists this ribosomal RNA (537 nucleotides) under Porocottus allisi. RNAcentral's name for it is "partial 16S ribosomal RNA". It matches the Rfam family "Bacterial large subunit ribosomal RNA", at positions 23 to 1040 of the family's 2925-position model. Lineage: Eukaryota; Metazoa; Chordata; Actinopteri; Perciformes; Cottidae. The record is from RNAcentral.
GCCCAACAGCUAGCCCACCCAAACAACUCCAACACCCCCUUGUUAAUACCCCCUAAAUACCCCAGUGUUUAAUUUAACCAAACCAUUUUUCCCCCUUAGUAUAGGCGAUAGAAAAGGAACUACGGCGCAAUAGAGAAAGUACCGCAAGGGAACGCUGAAAGAGAAAUGAAACAACCCAGUAAAGCCCAAAAAAGCAGAGAUAAAUACUCGUACCUUUUGCAUCAUGAUUUAGCAAGUGAGCCCCAAGCAAAGAGCACUUUAGUUUGACGUCCCGAAACUACGUGAGCUACUCCAAGACAGCCUAUUAAUAGGGCGUACCCGUCUCUGUUGCAAAAGAGUGGGGAGAGCUUUGAGUAGAGGUGACAAACCUACCGAACCUAGUAAAUAGCUGGUUGCUCAAGAAAUGAAUAGAAGUUCAGCCUCCUGGCUUCUCUUUUCACCCUAGUUUAACCCCUAUUGAUGUAUUAAAGAAACCGGGAGAGUUAGUCAAAGGGGGUACAGCCCCUUUGAAUCAAGACACAACUUUAUCAGGCGGGU